AGUCGUGCGGAGAGCACAGAGCGAGCUAUUCUUUCGCCUUAUACUAAAGAAUACCUUGUGCUCGCCACUUAUAGCGGCAUACGCCUAGUUUUGGAGGCCUAUUUCCUUUUCCGGAAUGG
This 119-nucleotide small nuclear RNA is filed under the name Gossypium raimondii (Peruvian cotton). RNAcentral describes it as "snRNA LOC128034350". It matches the Rfam family "U5 spliceosomal RNA". Rfam says of the family: U5 RNA is a component of both types of known spliceosome. The precise function of this molecule is unknown, though it is known that the 5' loop is required for splice site selection and p220 binding, and that both the 3' stem-loop and the Sm site are important for Sm protein binding and cap methylation. Lineage: Eukaryota; Viridiplantae; Streptophyta; Magnoliopsida; Malvales; Malvaceae. The record is from Rfam by way of RNAcentral.